GACGAACGCUGGCGGCGUGCUUAACACAUGCAAGUCGAACGGAAAGGCCCUGCUUUUGUGGGGUGCUCGAGUGGCGAACGGGUGAGUAACACGUGAGUAACCUGCCCUUGUCUUUGGGAUAACUUCAGGAAACUGGGGCUAAUACCGCAUAGGAUCUCCUGCUGCAUGGUGGGGGAUGGAAAGUUUCGGCGGUUGGGGCUGGACUCGCGGCUUAUCAGCUUGUUGGUGAGGUAGUGGCUUACCAAGGCUUUGACGGAUAGCCGGCGUGAGAGGGUGGCCGGGCACAUUGCGCCUGAGAUACGGCGCAGACGCCUACGGGAGGCAGCAGUGGGGAAUAUUGCACAAUGGGCGGAAGUCUGAUGCAGCAACGCCGCGUGCGGGAUGACGGCCUUCGGGUUGUAAACCGCUUUCGCCUGUGACGAAGAGUGAGUGACGGUAAUGGGUAAAGAAGCACCGGCUAACUACGUG
This 468-nucleotide ribosomal RNA is filed under the name uncultured bacterium. RNAcentral describes it as "partial 16S ribosomal RNA". It matches the Rfam family "Bacterial small subunit ribosomal RNA", at positions 28 to 507 of the family's 1533-position model. The record is from RNAcentral.